GAACACAAAAUGGCGACACGUGGUUAGCAUUCGUCGCCAACGAGAAAUUGGGGUCGGCCCGAAAGCUCUAGAAUGCACCCCUCUUCCUCCCCGGGGCCUUCCACCUCCGCGAGUUUUAUGACUUAAAAAAGCCCACAGGCUGGUCUGAAGGUCGGAGGCCUAAUUUUAACGCGUUUUCCUCCCUUUAAUUUGAAACGGGAACGCGAAUGACUGUAAAAUGUGGGCACAAUAUUUAAUCUCUCGCCUUUUUAAAGCUUAAUAGUGGAUAAUAGGGGGGCAGUAUCAAGGGAUAAUUUGGGUCCCCACAGUACCAAAGCAUUUAGAAACCUCUGUUUAAUUUAAGGAAUGAGAUAAGUUACUGCUUUUCUAGACUUCCUAGCAUGGGCUGUUGUGCUGGAGAGAACGAGAGCUACGAAGAGACUACAGUGCCUCUGACUUUUUCAUAGGACAGUUGGCCGGUGAAUCUUAUUAAUAGUUUACCACAAUUAAGUGUUCAUUUUUAGUCUAGAAGGGACAGGCGUUUAUUGUGCAUUGGCCAGUGCCAGCACAUCCGAUGCAAGGCAGUUCACCGUAUUCUAUCUUUAAUUUUUACCAUGGUCCUCUGAGGUAGGUGUUCUUAUCUCUCUCUCUCUCUCUCUCUUUUAAACAGAGGAAGACAAACAUAAAGAUGAAGUGCUUAAUUCAAGGUCACACAAUGUCGGGGAUGGACCUCCAGAUUUCCUUACUGACCUGCAUUAUCUUGUGGAUACCUGAGUGAAUUCCACACCACCCAUUUUAUAGAUGAAACCACUGAGACAUGGAGCAAUUGACUGAGUAGUCACUGCCCCACCCCUGCCUGGAGCCUCACACAUGACUCGCCUCCUCUCAGUGACCACAGGAAAACAAGCUCAGGGCUCCCACUGAUUGUACAUUAUGAGACGGAGUCUUGCUAUGUUGCCCAGGCUGGUCUUGAACUCCUCACCUCAAGCGAUCCUCCCGUCUUGGCCUCCCAAGUGUCAGGAUUACGGGCAUGUGCUAUCACACCCAACCUGAUACAUUGCCUUUAUAAAUUUUUUUUUCUUUAUUCUAAAAACCAGAAAAAACAAAACUGGAUACAUGUGCAGAACAUGCAGACCAAGUGUGUUGGGGACUUGAGAUGCGUACAUGAGUGUGAUGUUUCCUGCUGAAAGCACAGGUGAGACGUGGUCUUGUAACACAGUGGUUAAGAAUGUGACUUUGGAGCCAGCCUGCUAGGGGCUGAAUUCUGACUCAGCCAUUUACUAACUGUGUGACCUUAGGGAGGAGGACCUGGUUGAUAGAAGAAUUUAUCUCGUAGUCUUAACAUCCACUGUAAUUCCAAACUUUGAGGACGAUAGAGAUCAGUGGGCUUUGACUGCCCAGCAUGCAGUCUCCAU
Molecule: long non-coding RNA, 1394 nt
Filed under: Homo sapiens (human)
Lineage: Eukaryota; Metazoa; Chordata; Mammalia; Primates; Hominidae
Description: non-protein coding PCBP1-AS1:271
Source: RNAcentral